GCUCUCAUAGUUGAAUAUACAACUACCGUUUUUCGGACUGUCGGCCCAGGUUAGAGUCCUGGUGAGAGCU
RNAcentral lists this transfer RNA (70 nucleotides) under Centropristis striata (black sea bass). Its description in RNAcentral is "tRNA-Glu". It matches the Rfam family "tRNA". Rfam says of the family: Transfer RNA (tRNA) molecules are approximately 80 nucleotides in length. Their secondary structure includes four short double-helical elements and three loops (D, anti-codon, and T loops). The record is from RNAcentral. Lineage: Eukaryota; Metazoa; Chordata; Actinopteri; Perciformes; Serranidae.